UAUGAUAGAUUGAUGAGAGAAUAGGUUAUAUAUGAUCGGUGCAAUAUCGGAUGGAUAAAAACAUCUGUAUCUUAUUCCUCAUAGCUCUUCUUAGCUUUUCAACGCAGUCUGGUCACCUUUCUUGCUAUUUCUAUAGAAAAGACCGAAGAAAAGCAGCGCAUGAGGAGCAGAAGAGCAAAGAAAUGGGAGUUUGUUUUAAAAGAAACCAUUUUCCUCUUCUCUCUCUUUAUUAGAACUAGGAUCUAGUAUAGAAACAAAGAGUGCAGAUAUUCCCAAAAGUGGUGCAUACAUAUAAAUUUUAAAUUAAUGGAAAAUGGCAAUAUAGUUCACACUAAAUCAGGUAAAAAAGUUUGAUCCAUGGCCAAUGUGGCACAUCAUUAUUUCAGCUCACCAGAAAAAAAAAAAAAAACUAGAUCACGAUAAAUGGAUGGUCUUAAAUUCAAUUAGCUCCAAACGGUCAUCUUCAUAAGCCUUCUUCGUUUGAUCAGGAACAAAAAUCAUAUGGGGCUGGUACUAUGAAAAGCAAUGUGUUACGAACUUUUGAUUUUAUCAUCUCUUCCUAAGUACCAAUCUUAUAGAAGAAACAUAAAAGUGAAAGAUACUUUUUACUAAGAGUUGUUAGUCUUAUAAUUAAAAAAAAAGUAUGAUAUUUUUUUUUAUUUUCAAAAUAUAUUUUUUACUGAUAUAUAUUACAUAGCUAGAUAAUAUACAUCGAAAAAAUUAAUUAGCUAAAAAUUUAAUAUAUAUCUUUAAAUAAAUAGAUAUAUAGUUUUCAAAAUAUAAGAAUCAUUAAUAAAUAGUACACGAUCAAGUAAUACAUAUCAAAUAAAAUAAUCAUCAAGCAAGUUAGUACACACAUUUAAGUAAAUCAAUAUAUAGUUUUCAGAAUAUAUAAUUCAUCAAUAGAUAGUAUACGGCUAGAUGAUAUAUAAUUUUCGAAAUAUCAAUAGAUAGUUCAUCAAUGUAUAUCUUCAAGCAAAUUGAUAUAUAAUUUUUGAAACAUCAUAUUCGCUAAUAUAUAUUAUAUAGCUAUAUGAUAAAUACUCAUCAACUUUCUGAUACAUAUUGUAUAUUUCUUUGAAACACACUCAAUACUAAUCCAAUAUACCUCCAAAUAAAAAAUGUAUUCUAGAAAUAAUAUAUCAAUUUAUUAGAAAGUAUGAUUAGAUUACUAUUGGAUGUAUAUCAAAAAAUCUUACAGUAUGUAUUAGGAAGUCGAUCGGUAUGUAUCACUAAACGAUAUAGUAUAUCUUAAUAAACAUAAUGUUCUGAACACUGUGUAUGAAUUUACUUGAAGAGGUAUAUUGGAUUGUUAUUGUUAGAUAACUAAUUUGCUAAAUGUGUAUCAUCUAGUCAUUAGCUGUAUAUCGAUGAACUUCAUGUUUUGGAAACUAUAUAUUGAUUUAUCUAAAGGUAUAUAUUAAUUUGUUAGAUGGUUAAUUUGUUUGGUGUAUAUUAUUUGGCUAUGUAAUAUGUAUUGAUAAAAAAUAUGUUCUAAAAGUAAGGAAAGAAAAUAUUAUAUUUUUUUAAUUGUAAGACUAAUGGCUCCAUUAGUAAAGAAAAUACCUUUAACUUUUAUGUUCCUUCUUUAAGAUAGGCACUUGGGAAGAUAUGACAAAUCAGAAGCCUGUAUCAUAUUUCUUUUUGUGGUGCCCACCUCAUGUGAUUUUUAUUCUUUGAUCAGUGUACGCUAUCCCUUGUAGGGAUGCAAAUAGAUUGGAUUGGAUUAGACCAUGAGUGACCUUAAUCUGAUCCAGUUCUUUGAUUGGAUCCUGAUAUUGGAUACAGAUCUAUAAAAGAUUAGAUCUGAUUAGAUCUGAUCCACGAUCAAAAUUUUUGACUCAACGGAUCAUUUAUGUCGGGUCGAAUCCAUGUAUAAUUCAGUCCUAAUCUGAAGAAUUUAUAUCUGGAUUAGGUCUGGGUCAAAUAUAGCCGCCUGCAUUUUAAUUACCAUAUAAACCAACUACUAUUAACCACACAAAAUAUAUAAUAUAUAAUAUUUCUUUCAAAAUAAAUUAAAAUAUAAAAAUAAUUACGAAUCUAUCUUUAUGUUAAAGAUAAUAUUCAUACAAGUCUUAAAUUAUAACUUAGAAGCUCUAACAAGUUCAGGUCCUAACGGUAUCCUGAAUUUGGGUUGGGUCCAAAAUCAGUAAAUUCAUGUCUGAUUCAAAAAUAAAAUGAAUCUAAUUUUAAAAUUUGAUUUGAUUUUAUAAGUUUAUUAAAAUAAAUCAGAUUGGAUCUAAACCAGUCAUGGAUCCGAACUAUUUGCAGUGUUAUUCGCUCGCAACUCCAGAGAGAGAGAGAGACAAAAAAAAAAGGGGUGGGGGGGCGAGGGGGGAGAAAUUGUCCUCUUCACCGUUGCUUCCACGCUCUCUUCCUUGCCAAGCUCCUCCGCAGGCUCCCUCUCAUUAAGGUGGAACUUUAGCUAAACCUACAUUUCUCUCUUGGGCCCGGACCAUCCUGUCAUUGACCAACUUUUUAUUAUGCCAUAAAAUCUCUUGACCUCCAUGACAUUGUCUCUCUUGCCCUCCACUCCCGCCGCUAACUCAGCUGUGGAUGAAAAUAGCAUGGAUAAUAUCCAUCCAAUCUAAUUAUGGAGAGAAAUUUAAGGAUACAAAAAUAUUCAUAUAUAUAUAUAUAUCAAAUUCGUAAUCAAAUAUAUAAAUUUAUCUAUAAUUUUAUAUAAUAUUUAUUAUUUUUUUAAAAAAUAUACAAUCAUAUAAAUAUUUUAUUAAAUUAAUUUAGCAUCUAUUUAGCAAUAUGUUUAAUUCUAUUAUCAUAAAAUUUAAUUAUCCAUUCUAUAUUCAUAAUUACAUAUAUACUUAUGAUAUCCAAAUUAUAUCCGUAUCUAUUUAAAAUAAAUAUAAAUUUUUGCAUUUGAAUAAUAUCCGAUCCAUAUUUGUAUUCGUUAGGCAAAACAAAUAUGGAUAUGAAUAUACUGAUAUAUGAUUCGUAUCUGAUCCACUUUCAGCCCUAAACUCAAUCAUGCCUUCCUUGUUGCCUUUGUCGUCUUCUCUUUUCGUCUUCUCUUGCCAAUGCAUUAUGAUCUAGGUCUUAUCCACUUGAGAUAACUUAUGUAUAGAGAUGUAAAAAGCUUGACUACAAGGUAUUAUUUUCUUUUUCAAAAAACAAAAGCAAUGUAAAAUUGAAGAAACAAUUGGUGUUAAAACAGACUUUGUGAUGGUAAAAGCAUUUAGAAUAAUGUCAAAAUAAUGUUAAAAUAGACUUUGUGAUGUUGAAAACUUUUGUAAUGGUGUUUAAAGUAGACUUUUGUGAUGGUGCUAAGAUAAACUUUGCGAUGGUGUUAAAAUAGAGUUUUGUGACGGUGAAAAGUUUCAGAAUAAUGUUAAAACAGACUUUGUGAUCGUGUUAAAAUAGACUUUGUGAUGCUGAAAACUUUCAGAACAAUAUCAGACAUGGUUAAAAUAAAUUUUGUGAUGGUGAAAACUUUUGUGAGGUGUUAAAAUAGACUUUUGUGCUGGUGUUAAAAUAGACUUUGUGAUAGUGAAAACUUUCAGAAUAAUAUCAGUUAUCGUUAAAAUAAACUUUGUGAUGGUGAAAAUUUCAUGAUGAUGUCAAAAUACACUUUUGUGGUAGUGUUAAAAUAGAUUUUGUGACAAUGAAAACUUUCAGAAUAAUGUUACAAUAGACUUUAUGAUGGUGUUAAGAUGGACUUUAUGAUGAUGAAAACUUUCAAAAUAAUGUCAGAUACCGUUUUUCUGGAUAGCACUACCUCUGCUGCGGGGUCUUAACUUGUGGAGGGAUAAUUUCAACGUUAGGUGAGGACAUUGACAUUAUCACACUAUCAUUAUAAACAAAUGUAAUGGUUUGUAAUUAACAAAGUCUUUCCAAUAUAGGUAUAGUAUCAAAAUUGGGCGAGGACAGUUUGGCAAUUUAAUGUUGUUCAUACUGAAAUAUAUUAAAUAUUUAAUCAUAGUAUUUCUACAUCUAUCCACGAGCCCAUAAAAAAUCAAUCUAUUUAAAGAAAAGAUUUUAUAAUUCCUCCAUUUCGUUGCUAUAUGCUAUAAGGUUGCAAAAAAUUAUUGGCUUGUAUCCUAUUGGGGAUAUAAAUUGAACUCUAGGGUUUUGAAAAUUCAUUUUUGCUCAGGGAGAGUUUGUAUCCUAGAUCUUUCAUUUCACAUACAUAUUUUUUUUAAGAAACUCCCAUUACUCAUAAAUACUCUUCACUUUCUCCUUUCUUUUAAAUUUGCUACCUCUAAUAGAAGCAUACUUGCCAAAAAAUAUAAGAAAAGGAACUUUAAAGAAAAAAAAAAAAACUUCAUCGAUAAUAAAACAUAAGUUUGAUCAAACAGGGUAUCGGAGUUAACCAUGCUUCUCUUUCACUGCAUAGGCUAAAUGCUACUUCAUGAUAAUCAUAAGGAUCAUAUCAAUCGUCUUGGAACAGUUCCUAUAAGACUACAUGUGUUUGUGUUGGGGAAUGUGGAUGAUGAAUCAGGGUGUGCCUAUGUAACUGAAUAUAAAAUUAUAGGCUGUUUCUUGAAGUUAUUAGGGUUCCUGAAAUUGGAAAUCACUGGCAUUCUCGCAUUGCUUACAUUGUAGGCAUAUGCAGGCAUCAUGGCUGUCAUAUUAUUGUUAUACAGUAGUUGUAACAAAGUUUAUUCAACAACAAUGCCUUUACCCGAAGUAAUAGCUUUCAUCUAUAUCAGUUUUUUGAAAAAAUAACGGAUAAUUAUAUGAGUACCGAUAUUUAUGGUCUCAUGAUAUAAGCUUGUAGAGUCAUAUACCAUUAUAUGACGAGUAAUUUUUGGUACACCGUGUGCGGUGUAAUAGGAGUUAUUUUGGCCGAUUGAUCUUCUAAUAUACUAGUUUCAACAAUUCUCAUUUCUUACAUUUCUUCUUGGCUGUUUGGCCUGUAGUAAGUAUCUGGUUCACUGCUUUAAGUAUUAGUACUAUGACUUUUAACCUAAAUGAUUUCAAUUCAACCAAUCUGUAGUUGACCGUCAGAGUUGUGUUAUCAAUACUUGGACUGAUAUCAUCAAUUGCGCUAAUCUUGGUAUGGAAGUAAUGCAUGAACGUAAUGCUCACAACUUCUCUCUAGACCUAGCUGCUGUCGAAGUUUCAUCUACAAAUGGAGUGCACUAUCCAAUAAUAUUGGAGCACAUAGCGUCUUAAAUGGGAUAAACAUUUAAUAUCAUUCAGUUUUUUUUUCUUCAAUUUUUAGUGACAAAAAUAUCCUUUUCUCCAUAGAGUAAAGAAAAAAAAUAGUAUUAUUACUUCUUGAUAUCUUAUAUGACUUUUUAUAAAUAUAUAUGACAUCCUGAAUAAUAUAUAUAAUUUUUUAUAUCUUUAUGACAUCCUAAAUAAUAUAUAUAACUUCCUCAUGUCUUGUAUGACUUUUUGUGAAUAUAUAUGAUAUCUUGAACAAUAUAUAUAACUUUCUGUGAAUAUAUAUGAUAUUCUGAAUAAUAUAUAUGGCUUCUUAAUAUCUUACAUAAUUUUCUGUGAAUAUAUAUAACAUCCUGAAUAAUAUAUAUAACUUCCUGUAAAUAUAUAUGACAUCCUGAACAAUAUGUAUGGCUUUCUGUAAAUAUACAUGACAUCCUGAACAAUAUAUAUAGCUUCUUAAUACAUUAUAUAAUUUUCUGUGAAUAUAUAUGAUAUCCUGAAUAAUAUAUAUGACUUUCUAACACCUUAUAUGAUUUCUUGUAAAUAUAUAUGACUUUUUGAAUAAUAUAUAUAACUUUAAAUCAUAUAUAUUAUUCAAGAUAUCAUAUAUGUAUUUACAGAAAAUUAUAUAUAUUAUUUAGGAUGUCAUAUAUAUUGAUAAGAAGUCAUAUAAAAUAUUAAAAAAUUAUAUAUAUUAUUUAGGAUAUCAUAUAUAUUCACAGAAAGUCAUAUAUAUUAUUCAGGAUGUCAUAUAUAUUCACAAGAAGUCAUAUAAAGCAUCAGGAAGCCAUAUAUAUUAUUCAGGAUAUCAAAAAUACAUAGGAAGUCAUAUAUAUGAUUCAGGACGUCAUAUAUAUUCAUAAAAAUUCAUACAAGAUAUCAGGAAGUAAUAAUAUUAUUCUUUUUUUUAUUCUAUGGAGGAAAUGAUAUUUUUAUUAUUGAAAAUUAGAGAAAAAAAUUGAGCAGCAUUAAAUGUCUGUUCCAUCAUUAAGUACAUUAUGUGCUCCAAUAUGAUUGGACGGUACACUUCAUGUUAAUUUUAUUUAACACAUGCGGUGCACAAAGACUUUCUCUGACUCUUCACAACGACGAUUUUCAUUUUCAUUUUUUGUUUUCAAAUUUAAAUGGCUUGUGGUUAUACCACUCUCCAAAUAAGACUAAAAGUAGAUCAAAUACGAACCAGAUAUCAGUAUAUCCAUAUCCAUAUUUAUUUUAUUUGAUAAAUAUAAAUACGGAUAUGGAUAUUAUUCGAAUACAAAAAUUUAUCCAUAUUUGUUUUAGAUGGAUAUGGAUAUAAUUUGGAUACGAAAAAUAUGGAUAUAAUUAUAAAUAUAAGUUAGAUAAUUAAAUUUUAUUACAAUAUAAUUAAAGAUAUUAGUAUAUAGAUGAUAAAUCAAGUUAAUAGCAUGUUUAUAUAGUAGUCAUGUUUUUUUUAAAAAUUAGUAAGUAUUAUAUAAAAUUAUAUAAAAUUACAGAUAGAUUUGGAUAUUUGGAUGCGGAUUGGAUAGUUGUCUAUUCAUAUUGAUAUUUAUUUUUCUUUGAUGGAUAUGGAUACGGAUAUGAAUAUUAGUCGGAUCCUCAAAUUUUUAUUCAUAUUUGAAUUGACUAGAAUAUGAAAAUGAAUCCGGAUGGAUAUUGUCCAUGCCACUUCCACUCAUUUCUUGGUGAUCUUGGUACGGAGGUUCUGGGCAAGAAUUUUGAGUUGCAUCCUUAAGAUAUUAUCAUCCGAAUAGUUUAUCUUGACAAGAUCUUCAUCACCUUUUUCUCCUUUAUAAAUACUAAUAUUAGUCAUCGAACUUUAGUUCAAAUGAUACGCCCCUUGCCAUUUUGGAAAGGAGGGCUGGGGGUCGGAUUCUGAAGGCCGGUGCCUCUCAAUUUGGCUCCCAUGACGCUGAGCUGAUUCGUGAGCGCUAGGUUCAGACUGCCUGGUGGCUCGGGCUUCAAUCCAGCUAGAGUGGGGUUGGGUGGAAGGUGGGUUCGUGAGAGAGCUGACGGUAGAGGAGAUGCCAUGAGGGAGCGGAUGCUUUGAAGCUUUGUUUUUUUUAAAAAAAAAAAAAUGGAAGAAUCUCUACCAACCUAUAUUUGGUUAGGAUUAUGAUAUGAACGAUGGAUGGAGCUGGUAAGAUGAAUAGUUUCUAUCUAUAAUUUAAUUAAAAAAAUUUUAUGAAUGAUAAAUAAAAAAGAAAAAUUAUUUAUCCAUCAUAAUCUAUUAAUUUAUAUUUUUUUAAAUAUUAAAGAUGGGUGGUGCAUGUAAGUUGAAUUUUUAAGUUGAUAAAAUUAUUUUUAUUAAUUUUUUUAUUUUUUAUAUUUAUAUUAAAAAUAAUUUAAUAAAAAUACCACACGAGGAAUGAAAUUGUUUCUGCCAAUCCUUCCGUAGGACGUGGCUCGCAUGUGGAUGUGAUUUAGGUCUGAAAAGACCUGCCCUCCGCUGUCGAUCGCUCUCUCCACACCCGAGGAGACGAGCUCCGCUGCUUCGUGCUCCGCUAUUCUCCGCUUGGAUCAGUGGCAGGCCACCAACGCAGAAGCAGCUUUACAUGUCAAAAUAUCCAUUUUACUCCACUAAUAAUUGAAAUGAGUGAGUUAAAUUGAAAUAGUGGAAUGGAAAAGCUUUUUUUCAUUUUUUUCCCUCCUCUAAUAUGCAGGUAAAUGCAGCAUAAAAGUUUUUAUUAUAAAAUUUUAAUAAUUUAUUUUUUAAAAAAUGAGUUUUUUUCCUUGUCUAUGGCAUUAUCAUUAUUAUUUUUUCCCUUAUUCAUCUCCCAUACACGUCGCUGCUCCAGCUGCGGUUCUCGAAUCCAGUUUAUAUAGUGAGUUUAUAUAGUGAGAGACCCAACUCGCAACAUGUCUUUGCACAAUCCUCGUCUAAAAUCACGGAAAAAAACCAUCGACAGGAAGUCUAGUAUUCGAUCGACAGUCCAACUUCUAUCAUGGUCAUCCAGGGGAAUCUACAAUGCCUGGCUCAAACAUUAAAACAGUUCUUUGUUUUCGGUUUCUGAUCAUAUUCGCAUAUACUUGGGAUUGUCUGUUAGUUUUGCCUCAAAUCUUACCAAGCUACCUUCGUCAUCUCCACUACUCUGAAGCUGGAGUCUUGUCUUCGUAGUCUGUUUUUGGCUGUUAUUCUAGUAAUUCCUUAUUUAGCUGUCGUUUUUGUUGUGACUUGUGAUCCAGAGUGCUGUGAAAACUUCGUGCGCAAUAUGCUGUGUCUUUCGUUAUUCCCAUAGUUCUUCUGCUCCCACUGUUUUACCAAAAAAGACAAAAGAAGAAAAAAAGACCAAAAAAAAAAAAAAAAAAGGGAAAAGAAGAAGAAAGGGGCAGCGUUGACAGCGUGAAGGUAGAGGCAGAAUUGUCCUGUGCUUGCGUCCCAAGAGGGACAUUAUUGCUUGGAUCCUUAUCGAUGUCUCUGUCUG
RNAcentral lists this long non-coding RNA (8531 nucleotides) under Elaeis guineensis (African oil palm). RNAcentral's name for it is "long non-coding RNA (EGUI_LNC000173)". The record is from RNAcentral. Lineage: Eukaryota; Viridiplantae; Streptophyta; Magnoliopsida; Arecales; Arecaceae.